Long non-coding RNA from Oncorhynchus tshawytscha (Chinook salmon), 578 nucleotides. The record is from Ensembl. NCBI's taxonomy places the organism in Eukaryota, Metazoa, Chordata, Actinopteri, Salmoniformes, Salmonidae.
GCUAUAUACAGGGGUACCAGUACAGAGUCAAUGUGGAGACUAUAUACAGGGGUACUGGUACAGAGUCAAUGUGGAGGCUAUAUACAGGGGGUACCGGUACAGAGUCAAUGUGGAGGCUAUAUACAGGGGGUACCGGUACAGAGUCAAUGUGGAGACUAUAUACAGGGGGUACCGGUACAGAGUCAAUGUGGAGGCUAUAUACAGGGGGUACCAGUACAGAGUCAAUGUGGAGGCUAUAUACAGGGGGUACCAGUACAGAGUCAAUGUGGAGGCUAUAUACAGGGUAUUACGGUACAGAGUCAAUGUGGAGGCUAUAUACAGGGGGUACUGAUACAGAGUCAAUGUGGAGGCUAUAUACAGGGGGUACCGGUACAGAGUCAAUGUGGAGGCUAUAUACAGGGGGUACCGGUACAGAGUCAAUGUGGAGGCUAUAUACAGGGUAUUACGGUACAGAGUCAAUGUGGAGGCUAUAUACAGGGGGUACCGGUACAGAGUCAAUGUGGAGGCUAUAUACAGGGUAUUACGGUACAGAGUCAAUGUGGAGGCUAUAUACAGGGGGUACCGGUACAGAGUCAAUG